This is an RNA transcript of Musa acuminata AAA Group (dessert banana), 2272 nucleotides long. It is a transcript of the gene named DNA-binding protein EMBP-1-like, with no coding region annotated. The transcript is spliced from 10 exons. The record is from RefSeq and is a predicted model, not a curated record. NCBI's taxonomy places the organism in Eukaryota, Viridiplantae, Streptophyta, Magnoliopsida, Zingiberales, Musaceae.
CGUCGCGCUUCCUACUCCCACUCCGUUUCCUCCUCGUUUGGAUUCUAUCCCUCCGACGAUCCAAAAUCAGCGAUCGCAUUCACCCUUCCUUCCUCUUCCUCUCUCUCUCUCUCCCCGUUUGCAAGUAGAGUUUGCCAUACUGGGCAAGCCUUGCCCCACACUCCUCUCCAUAUAAUCCGUCCAUUCACCUUCCUUCCUCUUCCUCUCUCUCUCUCGCUCUCCGUUUGCAAGUCGAGUUUGCCAUACUGGGCAAGCCUUGCCCCACACUCCUCUCCAUAUAAUCCGCCCAUUCACCCUUCCUUCCUCUUCCUCUCUCUCUCUCUCUCUCUCUCUCUCUCUCUCUCUCCGUUUGUAAGUAGAGUUUGCCAUACUGGGCAAGCCAUGCCCCACACUCCUCUCCAUAUAAUCCGCCCAUUCACCCUCCUCGCCCCAACCUAGUUUCUUGGCCGCCGACGCGGGUUCCGCGAUUACCGUCAUAUGCAUUCUCUUUCUCCAAUCGCAAGUCGUUGGCGUUUGCUUUCUUCUUCUUGUUACUGAUCUUGAUGCUAUUUCGGUGUUUCGUAGUUCUGGUGAGCUGGGAUGGGUUCGCCUGCGAAGGAGUCCGCUUUCGCCUCCACCUCCGAAGCUGCGGCGCCUCAACAACUGCAGCCUCCGGUGUGGGCGCUGGAAACCGCAGCGGCAGCGGCAGCCAAGGGGAGGGCAGUGCCGUCUGUCUUCCUGCGGACCCAGAUGACGCCUUAUCCGGCUCCUACAAUCCAGGAGAGGCCUCUGCCGCAGGUGGAGGAGGAGAGGAACGAGAGUCCCGCAAGCAAAGCAGAGGGAUCUCAAGAGAAAUCUGGACGUGUUGACAGAAAAUCCUCUGCGUCUGGAAAGAAUUCUAGCUCUAGCUACGUUGAUCACGAUGAAUGGAAGGGCUUCUUGUCAUCUAGAAAGAGAAGAUACGAAGACAUAGUCACCAAGGGUGAAGCUUUACAUCUGGUAACUGCUGAUCAACAUAAUGGUGUCGACAUCGAAGCAUCUGAUGUUAGAGGGGAGCAUUCUGUCAAAACGCUGUCAGUUUCACCAGAAUCACUACUGCUAAGGGCAUUGCCACCUGGUUCUGAAACUGAAUUGAACACAGAGAUCAACCAAUGUAGUUAUCCAUCACCACUGCUAGGAAAUGACCCGGUUGCGCAUAAACAACAGCGGUUGCAGGAUGACGACGAAUUCAGGGAGAGAAGAAAACAGGCAAAUAGGGAGUCAGCAAGAAGGUCAAGAAUACGUAAAAGGCAAGAAUACGAGGACUCAGCAAGGAUGAUGGCCGUAUUGAAAAAUGAGAAUGAUGUACUCAGAGCAAAGAAUGAAAUUCUCAUGAAAAGGAUCAAGGAUUUAGAAGCUGGAAGCAUAAGAAUCAUGGAGAUAUUGAGCAGACUUUACUGGCCUGCUGAUACGUUGGAUGUACUGGGCAUCAGACCGUCGUAGAAGUUUUCAAGACACGACAAUCCUGAAUGUGCUUCUAGGUGAAUACAUUCCUGUUGCUUGGACCCUGCAAGCUUGAACCCCUGACACUUGCUUACUGAUGAAGUUAGUCAGGAGAGGACUCUGAGCCAAGAUGGGUAAAGAUAAUUCAAGAAGAUGCCAAGCUGCUGCUUGUGAGAAGGCAAAAAACAUGCAAACCGAUUGAUGUUUAAUGGUCCAAUGAUACACAGAUGUGAAAUGUAUAGUUAUUUUUUGUUUUAGUUUUAUUUGAUAUACGAUACCGUAUCGAUCUAAUAGAUUAGUUCUGGAUUGAUACGAUGAAGUUAUCUUGUUGAUUAAAUGGCAAAAGCAGGUUUCGAUCCUAAAGAAUUCUGAUACGAUGAAGUUAUCUUGUUGAUUAUAAUAGGUUAUCUUGUUGCAAGCAAGGAAGGAUGUUGGAGGAGUCGCUGUGUAGAUGCUGAUGCACCAGAGAGAAGACUGUCCUUUGACUGUUCUCCGGCAAGCGGAAAGGAGUCCUUGCAUGAUUCUGCAGAUUGAUACGCCCAUUAAAGGGUUGGUCAACCAGAUGGUCGGCGUACAGGAUAGAAGAAGAGACUCCAAUCAUAGUUGCAGGAAUCUGUACCAUUCAUCUAUACUGUACAGGCAAAGGUGAACCCUUCGGAGUACAUUUCCCUGAAGGAAGCAGCAGGAGUCGCGGUGUCCGUAGCCUGCUGCAGAGGUAUUGGAUCAUAAAUGGAUCAGUUUGUGUCUGUCUUCAUCAGCUCUCUCAUCUCCAUUUAGUGACGAAGAGACGAUGAGGCAGAUCCAUUGAUGA